This 128-nucleotide small nuclear RNA is filed under the name Solanum tuberosum (potato). Its description in RNAcentral is "snRNA U2". It matches the Rfam family "U2 spliceosomal RNA". Rfam says of the family: U2 is a small nuclear RNA (snRNA) component of the spliceosome (involved in pre-mRNA splicing). Complementary binding between U2 snRNA (in an area lying towards the 5' end but 3' to hairpin I) and the branchpoint sequence (BPS) of the intron results the bulging out of an unpaired adenosine, on the BPS, which initiates a nucleophilic attack at the intronic 5' splice site, thus starting the first of two transesterification reactions that mediate splicing. The record is from Rfam by way of RNAcentral. Lineage: Eukaryota; Viridiplantae; Streptophyta; Magnoliopsida; Solanales; Solanaceae.
AUAUCUUUCUCGGCCUUGUGGCUAAGAUCAAGUGUAACAUCUGUUCUUAUCAGCUUAGUAUCUAAUAUGUGAAUUGUCGGUUCACACAUGAUAUUAACUCAAUUAUCAAAAGGGGAAGACCACCCCUC